UACGGAGGGUGCGAGCGUUGUUCGGAAUUACUGGGCGUAAAGCGCGUGUAGGCGGCUUCCUAAGUCUGGUGUGAAAGCCCGGGGCUCAACCUCGGAAGUGCAUUGGAUACUGGGAAGCUGGAGUACCGGAGAGGAAGGUGGAAUUCCUGGUGUAGCGGUGAAAUGCGUAGAUAUCAGGAGGAACACCGGUGGCGAAGGCGGCCUUCUGGACGGAUACUGACGCUGAGACGCGAAAGCGUGGGGAGCAAACAGG
RNAcentral lists this ribosomal RNA (253 nucleotides) under uncultured bacterium. RNAcentral's name for it is "partial 16S ribosomal RNA". It matches the Rfam family "Bacterial small subunit ribosomal RNA", at positions 524 to 776 of the family's 1533-position model. The record is from RNAcentral.